RNAcentral lists this ribosomal RNA (449 nucleotides) under uncultured bacterium. Its description in RNAcentral is "bacterial SSU rRNA". It matches the Rfam family "Bacterial small subunit ribosomal RNA", at positions 335 to 799 of the family's 1533-position model. The record is from RNAcentral.
ACUCCUACGGGAGGCAGCAGUGGGGAAUAUUGCACAAUGGGCGCAAGCCUGAUGCAGCAACGCCGCGUGAGUGAUGAAGGCCUUCGGGUCGUAAAGCUCUGUCCUCAAGGAAGAAUAAAUGACGGUACUUGAGGAGGAAGCCCCGGCUAACUACGUGCCAGCAGCCGCGGUAAUACGUAGGGGGCAAGCGUUAUCCGGAAUCACUGGGCGUAAAGGGUGCGUAGGCGGUUUUUCAAGUCAGAAGUGAAAGGCUAUGGCUCAACCAUAGUAAGCUUUUGAAACUGUUAAACUUGAGUGCAGGAGAGGAAAGUGGAAUUCCUAGUGUAGAGGUGAAAUUCGUAGAUAUUAGGAGGAACACCAGUGGCGAAGGCGACUUUCUGGACUGUAACUGACGCUGAGGCACGAAAGCGUGGGGAGCGAACAGGAUUAGACACCCUGGUAGCACAGAG